RNAcentral lists this ribosomal RNA (492 nucleotides) under uncultured bacterium. RNAcentral's name for it is "partial 16S ribosomal RNA". It matches the Rfam family "Bacterial small subunit ribosomal RNA", at positions 29 to 507 of the family's 1533-position model. The record is from RNAcentral.
AGUGAACGCUGGCGGUAGGCCUAACACAUGCAAGUCGAACGGCAGCACAGUAAGAGCUUGCUCUUACGGGUGGCGAGUGGCGGACGGGUGAGGAAUACAUCGGAAUCUACUUUUUCGUGGGGGAUAACGUAGGGAAACUUACGCUAAUACCGCAUACGACCUACGGGUGAAAGCAGGGGAUCUUCGGACCUUGCGCGAUUGAAUGAGCUGAUGUCGGAUUAGCUAGUUGGCGGGGUAAAGGCCCACCAAGGCGACGAUCCGUAGCUGGUCUGAGAGGAUGAUCAGCCACACUGGAACUGAGACACGGUCCAGACUCCUACGGGAGGCAGCAGUGGGGAAUAUUGGACAAUGGGCGCAAGCCUGAUCCAGCCAUACCGCGUGGGUGAAGAAGGCCUUCGGGUUGUAAAGCCCUUUUGUUGGGAAAGAAAAGCAGCAGGUUAAUACCCCGCUGUUCCGACGGUACCCAAAGAAUAAGCACCGGCUAACUUCGUG